This 349-nucleotide transfer-messenger RNA is filed under the name Caldifarciminota bacterium. It matches the Rfam family "transfer-messenger RNA". Rfam says of the family: Bacterial tmRNA, also known as 10Sa RNA or SsrA, is named for its dual tRNA and mRNA-like properties. Its role is to liberate the mRNA from a stalled ribosome. The record is from RNAcentral. Lineage: Bacteria; Pseudomonadati; Caldifarciminota.
GGGGGCGUAUGGAUUCGACGGGGGUAUAAGGAUUCUGAAGGCGCAUGCCGAGGUUCCGUACCUCGUAAAAAACGGCAACAAAUAAUUGCCAACACAAACUACGCGUUAGCUGCCUAAUUGACGGCAGCUCGUCCGGGAAGAAGCUUGCCCCGUGCUUCUUCUCAGGACGUCAUAGAACGGGGCUACGCUUCUCCCUCGUGCCCGCCGGGGGAGAGGUUAAAGCGCAUGCGGGUACCCCUUCCGAGGCCUUGCCUGUCGGGCCGGAAGGGUUGAUGAAGACAGGCUAAGCAUGUAGGGCCUUCAGGGUCUGUACCUCCGGACGCGGGUUCGAUUCCCGCCGCCUCCAUUU